AACGAACGCUGGCGGCAUGCCUAACACAUGCAAGUCGAACGAGACCUUCGGGUCUAGUGGCGCACGGGUGCGUAACGCGUGGGAACCUGCCCUUAGGUUCGGAAUACCUCCCCGGAAGGGGUGCUAAUACCGGAUAAUGUCUUCGGACCAAAGAUUUAUCGCCUUUGGAUGGGCCCGCGUUGGAUUAGCUAGUUGGUAGGGUAAAAGCCUACCAAGGCGACGAUCCAUAGCUGGUCUGAGAGGAUGAUCAGCCACACUGGGACUGAGACACGGCCCAGACUCCUACGGGAGGCAGCAGUGGGGAAUAUUGGACAAUGGGCGAAAGCCUGAUCCAGCAAUGCCGCGUGAGUGAUGAAGGCCUUAGGGUUGUAAAGCUCUUUUACCCGGGAUGAUAAUGACAGUACCGGGAGAAUAAGCGCCGGCUAACUCCGUG
This 433-nucleotide ribosomal RNA is filed under the name uncultured bacterium. RNAcentral's name for it is "partial 16S ribosomal RNA". It matches the Rfam family "Bacterial small subunit ribosomal RNA", at positions 29 to 507 of the family's 1533-position model. The record is from RNAcentral.